Molecule: ribosomal RNA, 253 nt
Filed under: uncultured bacterium
Lineage: Bacteria
Description: partial 16S ribosomal RNA
Rfam family: Bacterial small subunit ribosomal RNA
Source: RNAcentral
GACAGAGGUGCCGAGCGUUAGGCGGAAUCACUGGGCUUAAAGCGUGUGUAGGCGGGCGGGCAAGUACCUUGUGAAAUCCCACGGCUCAACCGUGGAACUGCUGGGUAUACUGCCUGUCUUGAGCCAGCCAGGGGCAGUCGGAACAGACGGUGGAGCGGUGAAAUGCGUAGAUAUCGGGAGGAACACCUGUGGCGAAAGCGGCGCACUGGACCAUAACUGACGCUGAUGCGCGAAAGCGUGGGGAGCGAACAGG